Molecule: long non-coding RNA, 348 nt
Filed under: Androctonus crassicauda
Lineage: Eukaryota; Metazoa; Arthropoda; Arachnida; Scorpiones; Buthidae
Source: RNAcentral
AGCUGGAUUGUGGAGGACGGGGAUCGACAGACUGGGCCCGGACCCCAUGAUAAAUAUUUUCAAGGGUGGGAUCCGAGAGUCGAACCCAGGUCCUCCAGAGUGGAAAGCCAAAGUGUUUCCACGCAGCCAAUUUGGCCAACAGCCAUUUGGUUUUGAAUAUAUCUCUGAUGAUGUCAGAGAAAGAGAGAGAGCUUCUCAUUGGAUGUGCAGUUGCAACUAUUGCCACAAGAACAAAAUUUUUGUUGACGAGCGACAUCAUCAGCGACCAGUUCAGAGGGGGUUUACAAGUUAGGGAGAAGAGCUAGUUCCAGUCGCAACCUCAGCUAAAAAAAUCUCAAGGUGUGACCA